RNAcentral lists this ribosomal RNA (293 nucleotides) under uncultured Acidobacteriota bacterium. RNAcentral's name for it is "uncultured Acidobacteria bacterium partial 16S ribosomal RNA". The record is from RNAcentral. Lineage: Bacteria; Pseudomonadati; Acidobacteriota.
GGACUACCGGGGUUUCUAAUCCUGUUUGCUCCCCUAGCUUUCGCGCCUCAGCGUCGGUUAUGGUCCAGGAAGCCGCCUUCGUCGCUGGUGUUCCUCCCGAUCUCUACGCAUUUCACCGCUACACCGGGAAUUCCACUUCCCUAUCCCAUACCCAAAGCGCGGCAGUUUUCGAUGACCCCUCCCAGUUGAGCCGGGAGAUUUCACACCGAACACACCGCACCGCCUACGCGCUCUUUACGCCCAGUAAUUCCGAACAACGCUGGCCCCCUACGUAUUACCGCGGCGGCUGGCAC